AGCGGCGCACGGGUGAGUAACACGUGGGUAAUCUACCUUCAGGUUUGGAAUAACCCGGGGAAACUCGGACUAAUGCCGACUAAUACCACGUUUUUAAAAUUUCGUGGGAAAAGUGGGGGACCUUUUCGGAGGCCUCACGCCUGAGGAUGAGCCCGCGGCCCAUCAGCUUGUUGGCAAGGUAACGGCCUACCAAGGCAAAGACGGGUAGCUGGUCUGAGAGGAUGAUCAGCCACACUGGAACUGAGACACGGUCCAG
Molecule: ribosomal RNA, 256 nt
Filed under: uncultured bacterium
Lineage: Bacteria
Description: partial 16S ribosomal RNA
Rfam family: Bacterial small subunit ribosomal RNA
Source: RNAcentral